GGCUCAGAUUGAACGCUGGCGGCAUGCUUUACACAUGCAAGUCGAACGGUAACAGGUCUUCGGAUGCUGACGAGUGGCGGACGGGUGAGUAAUGCGUAGGAAGCUACCCGAUAGAGGGGGAUACCAGUUGGAAACGACUGUUAAUACCGCAUAAUGUCUACGGACCAAAGUGUGGGACCUUCGGGCCACAUGCUAUCGGAUGCGCCUACGUGGGAUUAGCUAGUUGGUGAGGUAAUGGCUCACCAAGGCGACGAUCCGUAACUGGUCUGAGAGGAUGAUCAGUCACACUGGAACUGAGACACGGUCCAGACUCCUACGGGAGGCAGCAGUGGGGAAUAUUGGACAAUGGGCGAAAGCCUGAUCCAGCCAUGCCGCGUGUGUGAAGAAGGUCUUCGGAUUGUAAAGCACUUUAAGUUGGGAGGAAGGGCAGUAACCUAAUACGUUAUUGUUUUGACGUUACCGACAGAAUAAGCACCGGCUAACUUCGUG
Molecule: ribosomal RNA, 489 nt
Filed under: uncultured bacterium
Lineage: Bacteria
Description: bacterial SSU rRNA
Rfam family: Bacterial small subunit ribosomal RNA
Source: RNAcentral